Molecule: ribosomal RNA, 490 nt
Filed under: uncultured bacterium
Lineage: Bacteria
Description: partial 16S ribosomal RNA
Rfam family: Bacterial small subunit ribosomal RNA
Source: RNAcentral
AUUGAACGCUGGCGGCAGGCCUAACACAUGCAAGUCGAACGGUAACAGGAAGAAGCUUGCUUCUUUGCUGACGAGUGGCGUACGGGCGAGGAAUGUCUGGGAAACUGCCUGAUGGAGGGGGAUAACUACUGGAAACGGUAGCUAAUACCGCAUAACUUCGCAAUACCAAAGAGGGGGACCUUCGGGCCUCUUGCCAUCGUAUGUGCCCAGAUGGGAUUAGCUAGUAGGUGGGGUAACGGCUCACCUAGGCGACGAUCCCUAGCUGGUCUGAGAGGCUGACCAGCCACACUGGAACUGAGACACGGUCCAGACUCCUACGGGAGGCAGCAGUGGGGAAUAUUGCAGAAUGGGGGAAAGCCUGAUGCAGCCAUGCCGCGUGUAUGAAGAAGGACUUCGGGUUGUAGAGUACUUUAAGAGGGGAGGAAGGGAGUAAAGUUAAUAACUUUGCUCAUUGACGUUACCCGCAGAAGAAGCCCCGGCUAACUACGUG